GACGAACGCUGGCGGCGUGCUUAACACAUGCAAGUCGAACGGAAAGGCCCUGCUUUUGUGAGGUGCUCGAGUGGCGAACGGGUGAGUAACACGUGAGUAACCUGCCCUUGACUUUGGGAUAACUUCAGGAAACUGGGGCUAAUACCGGAUAGGAGCUCCUGCUGCAUGGUGGGGGUUGGAAAGUUUCGGCGGUUGGGGAUGGACUCGCGGCUUAUCAGCUUGUUGGUGGGGUAGUGGCUUACCAAGGCUUUGACGGGUAGCCGGCCUGAGAGGGUGACCGGCCACAUUGGGACUGAGAUACGGCCCAGACUCCUACGGGAGGCAGCAGUGGGGAAUAUUGCACAAUGGGCGGAAGCCUGAUGCAGCAACGCCGCGUGCGGGAUGACGGCCUUCGGGUUGUAAACCGCUUUCGCCUGUGACGAAACGUGAGUGACGGUAAUGGGUAAAGAAGCACCGGCUAACUACGUG
This 468-nucleotide ribosomal RNA is filed under the name uncultured bacterium. RNAcentral describes it as "partial 16S ribosomal RNA". It matches the Rfam family "Bacterial small subunit ribosomal RNA", at positions 28 to 507 of the family's 1533-position model. The record is from RNAcentral.